This 325-nucleotide ribosomal RNA is filed under the name Alternaria petroselini. Its description in RNAcentral is "partial large subunit ribosomal RNA". It matches the Rfam family "Eukaryotic large subunit ribosomal RNA", at positions 310 to 652 of the family's 3401-position model. Lineage: Eukaryota; Fungi; Ascomycota; Dothideomycetes; Pleosporales; Pleosporaceae. The record is from RNAcentral.
CUAAAGCUAAAUAUUGGCCAGAGACCGAUAGCGCACAAGUAGAGUGAUCGAAAGCUGAAAAGCACUUUGGAAAGAGAGUCAAACAGCACGUGAAAUUGUUGAAAGGGAAGCGCUUGCAGCCAGACUUGCUUACAGUUGCUCAUCCGGGUUUUUACCCGGUGCACUCUUCUGUAGGCAGGCCAGCAUCAGUUUGGGCGGUAGGAUAAAGGUGUCUGUCACGUACCUCCUUUCGGGGAGGCCUUAUAGGGGAGAAGACAUACUAUCAGCCUGGACUGAGGUCCGCGCAUCUGCUAGGAUGCUGGCGUAAUGGCUGUAAGCGGCCCGU